AGCUUCCUGGAUUAUUCGAUAGCUGGUGAGAUCCUCGAGCCGAUAUUGAAUAAUUAGGAGAUUUNUGNAAAUCCUGUUGAGCAAGCCUAAAUUAGGAAGCCUGAUGGAUCAAAGAAAUCACCGCCUUGAACCUUACGGUUCAGGGUUACAUCAGUAACGAUUUUCUGGGAAGCUU
This 175-nucleotide non-coding RNA is filed under the name Gammaproteobacteria bacterium. RNAcentral describes it as "6S RNA". It matches the Rfam family "6S / SsrS RNA". From Rfam's summary of the family: E. coli 6S RNA was the first non coding RNA to be sequenced, but its function was unknown until recently. It consists of 184 nucleotides that fold into an extended hairpin structure with a large single-stranded internal bulge. The record is from RNAcentral. Lineage: Bacteria; Pseudomonadati; Pseudomonadota; Gammaproteobacteria.